GCGAACGCUGGCGGCAGGCCUAACACAUGCAAGUCGAGCGCCCGGGCAACCGGGAGCGGCAGACGGGAGAGUAACACGUGGGAACGUACCCUUCAGUUCGGAACAACCCAGGGAAACUUGGGCUAAUACCGAAUACGUCCGUAAGGAGAAAGAUUUAUCGCUGAAGGAUCGGCUCGUGUCUGAUUAGCUAGUUGGUGAGGUAACGGCUCACCAAGGCGACGAUCAGUAGCUGGUCUGAGAGGAUGAUCAGCCUCAUUGGGACUGAGACACGGCCCAAACUCCUACGGGAGGCAGCAGUGGGGAAUAUUGGACAAUGGGCGCAAGCCUGAUCCAGUUAUGCCGCGUGGGUGAUGAAGGCCCUAGGGUUGUAAAGCCUUUUCGGCGGGGAAGAUAAUGACGGUACUCGCAGAAGAAGCCCCGGCUAACUUCGU
RNAcentral lists this ribosomal RNA (431 nucleotides) under uncultured bacterium. Its description in RNAcentral is "bacterial SSU rRNA". It matches the Rfam family "Bacterial small subunit ribosomal RNA", at positions 29 to 506 of the family's 1533-position model. The record is from RNAcentral.